RNAcentral lists this long non-coding RNA (1133 nucleotides) under Coturnix japonica (Japanese quail). RNAcentral's name for it is "lncRNA (ENSCJPG00005003969.1)". The record is from RNAcentral. Lineage: Eukaryota; Metazoa; Chordata; Aves; Galliformes; Phasianidae.
AUGAUACUACUGUGUCAAUAUUGGAGCGCAGAGACAAUAGGUGCUUUCAUUGCCAGGAAAGAACAAAUGCAAAGGGAAGAUGUGGCUUUUAUUUAUUUGUACCAACCAACACUUUCUCAGCUCAGAAUAACCCCAGGCCUUUCUGUACUUAAAAAAAGCCAACAAAACCCACACACGCACACAAAACCCACAAAUAAACAAACAAAAACCCCACAACUUUUACAACUCAAGAGAAAAAAAAAGAGAGAGGGAGGGUAAUGAAGGUAAUGAGUAGUUUCAUUCUUUUAGAAAGCAUGCUUUUAAGCUCUGAUAACACAAUAACAGCCUUCUAAAAUUUUCAUGCUGGGAAAGAACUACCACAGAUGCUUCCUUAUACACCCACUUUUCUUUACAGCAAUGUGGGAUUGAGGUUUGUUUUUUUCUCUGCUAAACCUUAUACAUCUCUCCCUACCCUGGGAUACCCUGGUCUCCAGAGUAUUUGAAAACUACUAAUGGAGCAGAUAUAUAGAAAGCUGAGGGACAGGAACAGUCAUAUUGAAUAAGACUAGUGACCCAUCUAACACUGUAUUUUGGUUUGAGUGAACCAUAUCAGGUGCUGCAGAGAGAUGAGCAAUGUGCUCUCCUAACAGAGAACUGCAUAUUGACCUGCCAACCUAUGAAGUUUCUCCACAGCAUCAAACAACCUGGUUCCUGCUCUUAUCAUGGAACUGGAGGAUCUGCUCUCUUCUCCCUCACUUCCACUUGCAGAUCAGUUAUGUCUUACAAGCUGGAAUUUUAACAAAUAUGGAUAUGUAAUUUUUAUGUCUUUUUUUAACUUCAUAACAGUCAUUGCAUGAAACACAUUGCACGAUGGUGGCAUGCAAAAAGAACUGCUUUUUUCUGAAGACAAACCACCAGCUGAUCUGUUGAGUUAUCAAUGACCCAUGUCCUGCAGCCUUCACCUCCCUGCAAGCACCUGAGCACCCACAGCCCCCCAUCCAGGUCCACUCAGCAGCCUGCAUCCAGCUGGUGCCCCCCAGCUGGUAUGGGAAUGUGGGAGCACCAUUGUUGACAAAGACCUGUGAGGACAAAUGAAGUCUUGCCGGGGAGCUGCUUCAUAAAGCUUCUAAUAAAAUCUGUGGGAAGAGGAGACA